AAUGGAGGGACUAAAGGUGUUAAAACUAAAACUAAUAAUAAUAAAAACAAGGUUUAAACACCAAACACACUAAAAGAAGUGUGUCUGGUCGAUCUAAACAUCAGGAGCGAACACGAGCUUCCCCACCAAACCCUAACUUGUGCAAAUUGAUCAAAUUGGGGCUUCAAAUCAGUUCCAAAUCGAUUUCCAAGCACGAAAUUGUCAUCUCCAUUGAAAAGGGAGUCAUAAGUUUGAUCUCGUCAAGCUAAGUGGGAGCUGGAAAGGAUUGGAUCAAACGGGUCAAGUGCGCAAGGAAAGCUCGAACGGACGCAAACUAUAAGUACAUUUUGGAUGCCGGAAGACGAUCAAGCUCAACGAAGAACCGAACACGAAUAAGAUAAAAGCUUCCGCACGUCGUUUCGUCGUAACUUUUAAACGACGAACUCAAUUAUGUUAUGUUGUAUUAUUUUAAAAUUGUAAAGUUUAAACAAACCCGUAUUUUUACAAAGUAUAUGUAGUCAUAAUUACAUGUUGUUUGUCGUAUACUUUACGAAAACCAUUAAAUAAUGACAAGGGUGU
Helianthus annuus (common sunflower) is the source of this 558-nucleotide long non-coding RNA. RefSeq lists it as uncharacterized. The transcript is spliced from 3 exons. NCBI's taxonomy places the organism in Eukaryota, Viridiplantae, Streptophyta, Magnoliopsida, Asterales, Asteraceae. The record is from RefSeq and is a predicted model, not a curated record.